This 757-nucleotide long non-coding RNA is filed under the name Homo sapiens (human). Its description in RNAcentral is "PREDICTED lncRNA (TCONS_00154256)". The record is from RNAcentral. Lineage: Eukaryota; Metazoa; Chordata; Mammalia; Primates; Hominidae.
CACUAUUUGAAGAAGGUGCUUGCUUUCCCUUCUCUCUUUUGCCAUGAUUGAAAGUUUCCUGAAGCCUCCCCAGCUAUGCUUCCUGUACAACCUGUGGAACUAGGAAAUUUGUUUUGCAACAGAAAACAUAAGAAAUUUUCCCUGCUUGGAAGAUACUCAUACAUACCAGAAACAAGUCAACAUUUUGAUUUCAAACAUCAAAAAAGGUGUCCAGAAAUCUCAAGAAUUUGAGACAUCCUAAGGAACUUUAAGUGCUGUGAGCCACAAGUAACAUCAAGAAAAGACAGGGAUGAAGAACCGCACUUACAAGCUAAGUGUAAGCUCAUCCUACACAUGUCAUUUGGACCAGACCAAGGCUGCUGUCAUGGAGGACCCACACCACAGCUUGGGAACCAUUCAUCUACCAGAGGGUCACAUGACUUCAAAUGACUCUUCUAGGGGCCACCUGCCAUGAUAGGGUACCAGCUCUUCCUCUGAAUUCCCAAUCCAUUUCUUGAGAACUACUGUUUCUAAUAAGAGGGGAAGAAGGUCAUGUGGGAAUCAGUUAAAUCACGUGUGGAUAGAAGACAAGUUCCAGCUUUGUGGGAAAUCCUGUAGCCUUCGCCAGGUACACCCUGACAAUCUCAGAACUGAUCAGAGUUUUUGUUCCAUGUGAGAUACCCACGCCACUUUAAAAAACAAACUAUCCUGACAUCUAAUUACUUUGUGAAUGAUUGUAAUGGCAAUAACAAUAGAGAUGGAAGAAUUUUGGAAACAA